CCAAACAAGUCUGGGAUUCUGUGAUUUUGUUCAAUACCUUUAGCACUGGAUGUAAUUCUGAAAUGAUGGGCAAAAUGAAACAGAGAUUCCUUCAAGUGCCAGAUAUGUUGGUAAGGGUAAGACUGGAAAAGUAAAUUGUGUUUCCUUUGCCAGUGUCAGGAAAAAUGACCAAAUUCAGGUUCCUCUUCAGCAACAGCCACUGCAUCUUCAGGACCUCCAUAUGCAUCUUGUUCCAGUGCUAGGUAGUGCAGUUAGUUAGUAACUACUGCUUGUGUCAUAGCUACAGAAGAUCCAUCAUGCCUCAAACCUUGAAUCAUGGCAGGUGUGGGCAUAUAUGUAAGAGCACCAAGUUUUUGCACUGGUGCCUCUAACUAUCUUCUCUCUGGCUUUUUAAUUUCACUGAGAACUAACUGAGUACGUUUCUGGACUAGUUUUAGUUGUCAGUAAAGUUACUCUUUCCAGUUGUCUUCAUAUUUUCUCAGUAGCUGAGAUCUGUAAGGAUCCGUACCAGCAGCUGUGGCUAUCAGUUGCUCUGUUUCUAGUGACUUUGCUGCUGCAGACUCUAACCAGGAAAUUACUAAAAACCUCGUGAUAGCCUUAAUGACAUGAUGUGAUGUGGCUUUUUCUUUAGAUGGCACCAUGUCUUGAAUACAGACAUUUGCUGCCAGUGAAUACACCCACUUGCACUGGAUGGGAGUCACCAACAGCUCCACAGGUGCGUCGUCAAACCAACAUCUGCAUAAAGACACUGGACUUGCUGUUUUGUGUGAGUGCAGUGACUAAGCAAACUGGCACUAGUCUAUAGAGACAUCUGGAGAUAUUGAUACUGGAUCUCCUGAGGGAACUGUACCAUAGUUGAAAAUGAAUUGUCACCAAGAUCCAUGGAUUUGUGAUGGGCAGGCACUACGGCCUAACUAAAACCUGAAGUGGGCCCACAGCACAGACUUGAAGGAUCUCUUCUAUCUGCAGGGCUGAAUAAGCACAGCACCUUGUAAGGUCAACUCCUCUUCUUAUGAGUGUUGUUCACAGUUUGCAGAUACUGUGUGAAAUGAAUUCUUUCUCUAUUUAAAAGGGCAAAGUAAUUUGUCAGGCGUGUGGCUCAUGAAAUCUUCACCAGAAACACUGUGUGACUUGUACAAGCAAAGCUGCCUGAAAUACAGACACUGAGGCUUCUUCCAUCAAUCACACUAGGGUUAAUCAAAUCAGAGCACAACAUUCUUUUUCUCUGGAAAACUGAAGUCAUAGCCCUGUGUACCUGCUAUAAAAGCAGAGUUUCUCUCCCUCAUGGGAUAUUCAAGGCCAAUACUCCCACAGAUCCUCCAUCACAAAUGUCCAGCUAAACAGAAGCAUACCUUUGGGUUCCUCCUGUGGAAGUCAGGACUGUGUGUGCCAUUGUGAAAGCUCAGAAGGCUCUUAGAAAAUGGGUAGUCUUGGCUCCAAGAGAGUUUUGUUUUGUUCAGAUUAUUUUCAGUUGCAGUAGAAAACUUGAGUGUCUACAUCAGGAAGACAAUUUUUGUUGUUUUCCAUUAUGUUGUGAAAACAAAAUAUUUCUUGAUAUUA
Neopsephotus bourkii (Bourke's parrot) is the source of this 1560-nucleotide long non-coding RNA. RefSeq lists it as uncharacterized. Lineage: Eukaryota; Metazoa; Chordata; Aves; Psittaciformes; Psittacidae. The transcript is spliced from 2 exons. The record is from RefSeq and is a predicted model, not a curated record.